This 429-nucleotide ribosomal RNA is filed under the name Acidobacteriota bacterium. RNAcentral's name for it is "Acidobacteria bacterium partial 16S ribosomal RNA". It matches the Rfam family "Bacterial small subunit ribosomal RNA", at positions 355 to 776 of the family's 1533-position model. RNAcentral also lists the same sequence under 2 other names. Lineage: Bacteria; Pseudomonadati; Acidobacteriota. The record is from RNAcentral.
UAGGGAAUCUUCGGCAAUGGACGAAAGUCUGACCGAGCAACGCCGCGUGAGUGAAGAAGGUUUUCGGAUCGUAAAACUCUGUUGUUAGAGAAGAACAAGGACGUUAGUAACUGAACGUCCCCUGACGGUAUCUAACCAGAAAGCCACGGCUAACUACGUGCCAGCAGCCGCGGUAAUACGUAGGUGGCAAGCGUUGUCCGGAUUUAUUGGGCGUAAAGCGAGCGCAGGCGGUUUCUUAAGUCUGAUGUGAAAGCCCCCGGCUCAACCGGGGAGGGUCAUUGGAAACUGGGAGACUUGAGUGCAGAAGAGGAGAGUGGAAUUCCAUGUGUAGCGGUGAAAUGCGUAGAUAUAUGGAGGAACACCAGUGGCGAAGGCGGCUCUCUGGUCUGUAACUGACGCUGAGGCGCGAAAGCGUGGGGAGCAAACAGG